AGUGCUGACACAGACAUCCCCUAAAAGUUGCUGAAGAUGUUACCUAGUCUGGUAAGAAUCGUUUGAAGCCAACCCACAAACUCCAAGGAUGAACCUUCAUCCUCAUCCUACACUCAAACUACAGCUAUUCGCCACUAUUGCAAACUUUGAGUCUAUUUAAACAAUUAUUAGAAAGUAACAUAAAGAACAAGUUGUUCUUUAGCAGAAUUUUACAUUGGAUGGAACCUUGCCAAUUAUUGAAUGUAACAUUUCUUUGAAUUUAUAUUCAGUUGCUUCCUGGUUUAUCUCCCCACUAUUAUCUGGUAUGAUGUCUGGUGCACUGUUUCUCUUGAUCAGAUUUUUCAUCUUAAAUAAGGAAGAUCCAGUACCAAAUGGUCUUCGUGCCCUUCCAGUGUUCUAUGCUGCUACAAUAACUAUUAAUGUGUUCUCUAUAAUGUAUACAGGUGCUCCAGGAGGACUUCAAGAACAGGGGCAGGGGGACUAGUGCCUCUAAAGGAAAAGAGGUGGCUACAGGUGGCUCCCAAAGCAAAAAAUGCAGAAUAUGAAGAGAAAACUCACGAGUUGGCAAUCCAAGAGGAAUUGGCUAAAGAAAUUUCAAAACCCUCUGGU
Crotalus tigris (Tiger rattlesnake) is the source of this 609-nucleotide long non-coding RNA. RefSeq lists it as uncharacterized. NCBI's taxonomy places the organism in Eukaryota, Metazoa, Chordata, Lepidosauria, Squamata, Viperidae. The transcript is spliced from 3 exons. The record is from RefSeq and is a predicted model, not a curated record.